GCGGAGGAAAAGAAACUAACAAGGAUUCCCCUAGUAACGGCGAGUGAAGAGGGAAUAGCUCAAAUUUUGAAUCUGGCACCUUUGGUGUCCGAAUUGUAAUCUAGAGAAGUGUUUUCCGUGACGGACCGUGCAUAAGUCUCCUGGAAUGGAGCGUCAUAGAGGGUGAGAAUCCCGUAUAUGGCAUGGACUCCCGUUGCUCUGUGAUACACUCUCAACGAGUCGAGUUGUUUGGGAAUGCAGCUCUAAAUGGGUGGUAAAUGCCAUCUAAAGCUAAAUAUUGGCGAGAGACCGAUAGCGAACAAGUACCGUGAGGGAAAGAUGAAAAGCACUUUGGAAAGAGAGUGAAACAGUACGUGAAAUUGUUGAAAGGGAAACGCUUGAAGUCAGUCGCGCCGUUCGGGAUUCAGCCUUGCUUCUGCUCGGUUUACUUCCCGUUGGGUGGGUCAACAUCAGUUUUGGUCGGAGGAGAAAGACUUGGGGAAGGUAGCAGCAUUCGUGCUGUGUUAUAGCCCCUUGUUGUAUACUUCGGCUGGGACUGAGGAUCGCAGCACGCCUUUGGCCGGGGUUCGCCCACGUACGUGCUUAGGAUGUUGGCAUAAUGGCUCUAAGCGACC
Molecule: ribosomal RNA, 614 nt
Filed under: Sebacina aff. epigaea MW 526
Lineage: Eukaryota; Fungi; Basidiomycota; Agaricomycetes; Sebacinales; Sebacinaceae
Description: eukaryotic LSU rRNA
Rfam family: Eukaryotic large subunit ribosomal RNA
Source: RNAcentral